This 1489-nucleotide ribosomal RNA is filed under the name Lactiplantibacillus argentoratensis. RNAcentral's name for it is "bacterial SSU rRNA". It matches the Rfam family "Bacterial small subunit ribosomal RNA". Lineage: Bacteria; Bacillati; Bacillota; Bacilli; Lactobacillales; Lactobacillaceae. The record is from RNAcentral.
GACGAACGCUGGCGGCGUGCCUAAUACAUGCAAGUCGAACGAACUCUGGUAUUGAUUGGUGCUUGCAUCAUGAUUUACAUUUGAGUGAGUGGCGAACUGGUGAGUAACACGUGGGAAACCUGCCCAGAAGCGGGGGAUAACACCUGGAAACAGAUGCUAAUACCGCAUAACAACUUGGACCGCAUGGUCCGAGCUUGAAAGAUGGCUUCGGCUAUCACUUUUGGAUGGUCCCGCGGCGUAUUAGCUAGAUGGUGGGGUAACGGCUCACCAUGGCAAUGAUACGUAGCCGACCUGAGAGGGUAAUCGGCCACAUUGGGACUGAGACACGGCCCAAACUCCUACGGGAGGCAGCAGUAGGGAAUCUUCCACAAUGGACGAAAGUCUGAUGGAGCAACGCCGCGUGAGUGAAGAAGGGUUUCGGCUCGUAAAACUCUGUUGUUAAAGAAGAACAUAUCUGAGAGUAACUGUUCAGGUAUUGACGGUAUUUAACCAGAAAGCCACGGCUAACUACGUGCCAGCAGCCGCGGUAAUACGUAGGUGGCAAGCGUUGUCCGGAUUUAUUGGGCGUAAAGCGAGCGCAGGCGGUUUUUUAAGUCUGAUGUGAAAGCCUUCGGCUCAACCGAAGAAGUGCAUCGGAAACUGGGAAACUUGAGUGCAGAAGAGGACAGUGGAACUCCAUGUGUAGCGGUGAAAUGCGUAGAUAUAUGGAAGAACACCAGUGGCGAAGGCGGCUGUCUGGUCUGUAACUGACGCUGAGGCUCGAAAGUAUGGGUAGCAAACAGGAUUAGAUACCCUGGUAGUCCAUACCGUAAACGAUGAAUGCUAAGUGUUGGAGGGUUUCCGCCCUUCAGUGCUGCAGCUAACGCAUUAAGCAUUCCGCCUGGGGAGUACGGCCGCAAGGCUGAAACUCAAAGGAAUUGACGGGGGCCCGCACAAGCGGUGGAGCAUGUGGUUUAAUUCGAAGCUACGCGAAGAACCUUACCAGGUCUUGACAUACUAUGCAAAUCUAAGAGAUUAGACGUUCCCUUCGGGGACAUGGAUACAGGUGGUGCAUGGUUGUCGUCAGCUCGUGUCGUGAGAUGUUGGGUUAAGUCCCGCAACGAGCGCAGCCCUUAUUAUCAGUUGCCAGCAUUAAGUUGGGCACUCUGGUGAGACUGCCGGUGACAAACCGGAGGAAGGUGGGGAUGACGUCAAAUCAUCAUGCCCCUUAUGACCUGGGCUACACACGUGCUACAAUGGAUGGUACAACGAGUUGCGAACUCGCGAGAGUAAGCUAAUCUCUUAAAGCCAUUCUCAGUUCGGAUUGUAGGCUGCAACUCGCCUACAUGAAGUCGGAAUCGCUAGUAAUCGCGGAUCAGCAUGCCGCGGUGAAUACGUUCCCGGGCCUUGUACACACCGCCCGUCACACCAUGAGAGUUUGUAACACCCAAAGUCGGUGGGGUAACCUUUUAGGAACCAGCCGCCUAAGGUGGGACAGAUGAUUAGGGUG